RNAcentral lists this ribosomal RNA (129 nucleotides) under Thermovibrio guaymasensis. Lineage: Bacteria; Pseudomonadati; Aquificota; Aquificia; Desulfurobacteriales; Desulfurobacteriaceae. The record is from RNAcentral.
CCUGGUGCCCAUAGCGGCGGGGAAACACCCGAUCCCAUUCCGAACUCGGAAGUUAAGCCCGCCAGCGCCGAUGAUACUGCCCGCGGGAGCGGGUGGGAAAGUAGGGCGGUGCCAGGCUUUUUUUAUUUU